CAGGGAAGUGAGGUAUGUUGAAAGCUUGUGGAGCAGAGCUUUGUAAACAAGAAGGGAGUAAUGAAGUGAUCUACAUUCUGAUACAGGAUGCAGUACAUCAGUAGAACACACUGGACUCUCCUCCGCCAAUCAUAGAAGGAGAAUGGUCUAAUUCCUCCCAUCAAAAAGAGAGCUGGCCCAAGCAAGCACAGGUUACACCUAAAGCAUGAGGAGCGUGACCUUCAUCAACGACUACGCAGAGGAUAAUGCAAUAGUAUUAUCAGGACGCCACCUAGGACAAAAACACUUGGUGGAAAGCUGCUGAUGCCAUGUGACAAAAGCAGCUCUACAAGAAAUCAAUGACAAACCUUGCUUCGAUGCUCUGGAGCCUGGUGUCGUCAUCACCAAGCGUUCAGACUCAGUCGGGACCAGGUUUCAGCUGCUGCGCAACGCUGACAUCAUAGAUGGUCUGCCUGUAGAAGCACCGCCUGGACUGGACACAGCUUGACAAACGUAUAUUUUUGAGAAGAUCGGGGAGUUUUGCGACGAAGAGGCUAUGGACAUCACAUGCCCUGCACCAAAGUCAAGGGCAGGACAGAAACAGGCUCUCCGAAUAUAGAUUCCCUUGUUCAUGCGUGGUUCGGAAGGACCAGUCAUCAGCACUAUCUGCAGUGCCUCUAUUCACAUGACUCUCUCCAUAUGUUGCUUUUUAUUUAUUAUAUAUUUUAUUUACCCCUGAUUGUAUGCAUAUCUGCCUCAUCUAUCAUUUGUUUCAUGAGCUGAAAUAAAAAGAUCACAGAAAUGUUCAAUACGCAC
Molecule: long non-coding RNA, 795 nt
Organism: Oncorhynchus mykiss (rainbow trout)
Lineage: Eukaryota; Metazoa; Chordata; Actinopteri; Salmoniformes; Salmonidae
Source: RefSeq, a predicted model, not a curated record